GACGAACCGAGCGAACGUUGUUCGGAAUCACUGGGCUUAAAGGGCGCGUAGGCGGGUGCUCAAGUCCGGGGUGAAAUCCUCCAGCUCAACUGGAGAACUGCCUCGGAUACUGGGUGUCUCGAGGGUGGUAGGGGUAUGCGGAACUAUCGGUGGAGCGGUGAAAUGCGUUGAUAUCGAUAGGAACUCCGGUGGCGAAGGCGGCAUACUGGACCACAUCUGACGCUGAGGCGCGAAAGCCAGGGGAGCAAACGGG
This 253-nucleotide ribosomal RNA is filed under the name uncultured bacterium. RNAcentral describes it as "partial 16S ribosomal RNA". It matches the Rfam family "Bacterial small subunit ribosomal RNA", at positions 524 to 776 of the family's 1533-position model. The record is from RNAcentral.